AUUGAACGCUGGCGGCAGGCCUAACACAUGCAAGUCGAGCGGUAGCACAGAGAGCUUGCUCUCGGGUGACGAGCGGCGGACGGGUGAGUAAUGUCUGGGAAACUGCCUGAUGGAGGGGGAUAACUACUGGAAACGGUAGCUAAUACCGCAUAACGUCGCAAGACCAAAGUGGGGGACCUUCGGGCCUCAUGCCAUCAGAUGUGCCCAGAUGGGAUUAGCUAGUAGGUGGGGUAACGGCUCACCUAGGCGACGAUCCCUAGCUGGUCUGAGAGGAUGACCAGCCACACUGGAACUGAGACACGGUCCAGACUCCUACGGGAGGCAGCAGUGGGGAAUAUUGCACAAUGGGCGCAAGCCUGAUGCAGCCAUGCCGCGUGUGUGAAGAAGGCCUUCGGGUUGUAAAGCACUUUCAGCGGGGAAGAAGGCGGUGAGGUUAAUAACCUUGUCGAUUGACGUUACCCGCAGAAGAAGCACCGGCUAACUCCGUGCCAGCAGCCGCGGUAAUACGGAGGGUGCAAGCGUUAAUCGGAAUUACUGGGCGUAAAGCGCACGCAGGCGGUCUGUCAAGUCGGAUGUGAAAUCCCCGGGCUCAACCUGGGAACUGCAUUCGAAACUGGCAGGCUAGAGUCUUGUAGAGGGGGGUAGAAUUCCAGGUGUAGCGGUGAAAUGCGUAGAGAUCUGGAGGAAUACCGGUGGCGAAGGCGGCCCCCUGGACAAAGACUGACGCUCGGGUGCGAAAGCGUGGGGAGCAAACAGGAUUAGAUACCCUGGUAGUCCACGCCGUAAACGAUGUCGAUUUGGAGGUUGUGCCCUUGAGGCGUGGCUUCCGGAGCUAACGCGUUAAAUCGACCGCCUGGGGAGUACGGCCGCAAGGUUAAAACUCAAAUGAAUUGACGGGGGCCCGCACAAGCGGUGGAGCAUGUGGUUUAAUUCGAUGCAACGCGAAGAACCUUACCUGGUCUUGACAUCCACAGAACCUUCCAGAGAUGGAUUGGUGCCUUCGGGAACUGUGAGACAGGUGCUGCAUGGCUGUCGUCAGCUCGUGUUGUGAAAUGUUGGGUUAAGUCCCGCAACGAGCGCAACCCUUAUCCUUUGUUGCCAGCGGUUAGGCCGGGAACUCAAAGGAGACUGCCAGUGAUAAACUGGAGGAAGGUGGGGAUGACGUCAAGUCAUCAUGGCCCUUACGACCAGGGCUACACACGUGCUACAAUGGCAUAUACAAAGAGAAGCGACCUCGCGAGAGCAAGCGGACCUCAUAAAGUAUGUCGUAGUCCGGAUUGGAGUCUGCAACUCGACUCCAUGAAGUCGGAAUCGCUAGUAAUCGUAGAUCAGAAUGCUACGGUGAAUACGUUCCCGGGCCU
This 1361-nucleotide ribosomal RNA is filed under the name uncultured bacterium. Its description in RNAcentral is "bacterial SSU rRNA". It matches the Rfam family "Bacterial small subunit ribosomal RNA", at positions 28 to 1381 of the family's 1533-position model. The record is from RNAcentral.